AUUGAACGCUGGCGGCAUGCUUUACACAUGCAAGUCGAACGGCAGCGCGGGCUUCGGCCUGGCGGCGAGUGGCGAACGGGUGAGUAAUGCAUCGGAACGUGCCCAGUAGUGGGGGAUAGCCCGGCGAAAGCCGGAUUAAUACCGCAUACGACCUGAGGGUGAAAGCGGGGGACCGAAAGGCCUCGCGCUAUUGGAGCGGCCGAUGUCGGAUUAGCUAGUUGGUGGGGUAAAGGCUUACCAAGGCGACGAUCCGUAGCUGGUCUGAGAGGACGACCAGCCACACUGGGACUGAGACACGGCCCAGACUCCUACGGGAGGCAGCAGUGGGGAAUUUUGGACAAUGGGGGCAACCCUGAUCCAGCCAUGCCGCGUGCGGGAAGAAGGCCUUCGGGUUGUAAACCGCUUUUGUUCGGGAAGAAAUCCUCUGGGCUAAUACCCCGGGGGGAUGACGGU
RNAcentral lists this ribosomal RNA (453 nucleotides) under Leptothrix sp. oral taxon 026. RNAcentral's name for it is "bacterial SSU rRNA". It matches the Rfam family "Bacterial small subunit ribosomal RNA", at positions 28 to 476 of the family's 1533-position model. Lineage: Bacteria; Pseudomonadati; Pseudomonadota; Betaproteobacteria; Burkholderiales; Sphaerotilaceae. The record is from RNAcentral.